This 1007-nucleotide ribosomal RNA is filed under the name human metagenome. RNAcentral describes it as "bacterial LSU rRNA". It matches the Rfam family "Bacterial large subunit ribosomal RNA", at positions 1923 to 2925 of the family's 2925-position model. The record is from RNAcentral.
GUAAACGGCGGCCGUAACUAUAACGGUCCUAAGGUAGCGAAAUUCCUUGUCGGGCAAGUUCCGACCUGCACGAAUGGCAUAACGAUGGCCACACUGUCUCCUCCUGAGACUCAGUGAAGUUGAAGUGUUUGUGAUGAUGCAAUCUCCCCGCGGCUAGACGGAAAGACCCCAUGAACCUUUACUGUAGCUUUGCAUUGGACUUUGAACCGAUCUGUGUAGGAUAGGCGGGAGCCUGUGAAACCACAACGCCAGUUGUGGCGGAGGCGUCCUUGAAAUACCGCCCUGAUUUGUUUGAGGUUCUAACCUGGGACAGUCAUCCUGUCCGGGGACCGUGCAUGGUAGGCAGUUUGACUGGGGCGGUCUCCUCCUAAAGGGUAACGGAGGAGUGCGAAGGUACGCUAGGUACGGUCGGAAAUCGUGCUGAUAGUGCAAUGGCAAAAGCGUGCUUGACUGCGAGACCCACAAGUCGAGCAGAUACGAAAGUAGGUCAUAGUGAUCCGGUGGCUCUGUAUGGAAGGGCCAUCGCUCAACGGAUAAAAGGUACUCUGGGGAUAACAGGCUGAUACCGCCCAAGAGUUCAUAUCGACGGCGGUGUUUGGCACCUCGAUGUCGGCUCAUCUCAUCCUGGGGCUGUAGCCGGUCCCAAGGGUAUGGCUGUUCGCCAUUUAAAGAGGUACGUGAGCUGGGUUUAAAACGUCGUGAGACAGUUUUGUCCCUAUCUGCCGUGGGCGCUGGAAGAUUGACGGGGGCUGCUCCUAGUACGAGAGGACCGGAGUGGACUCACCUCUGGUGUACCGGUUGUCACGCCAGUGGCAUCGCCGGGUAGCUAUGUGGGGAAGAGAUAACCGCUGAAAGCAUCUAAGCGGGAAACUUGCCUGAAGAUAAGUCUUCCUGGAGGCUAGACCUCCCUAAAGAGUCGUUCGAGACCAGGACGUUGAUAGGAUGGGUGUGUAAGUGCUGUGAGGCACUCAGCUAACCAUUACUAAUUGCUCGUGAAGCUUGAUCCU